AAUGAACGCUGGCGGCAUGGAUUAGGCAUGCAAGUCGAACGAGAACGCCCGUUCGGGGUAGAAAGUGGCGAAAGGGUGAGUAACGCGUGAGUAACUUGCCUCCGAAGUCGGGGAUAACAGUUGGAAACGACUGCUAAUACCGGAUGUGACUAUUGAAUCGCAGUGGGGGACUCAUGAAAGCUAUAUGCGCUAGAGGAGAGCUUUGCGUGCCAUUAGCUGGUUGGUGGGGUAACGGCCCACCAAGGCGACGAUAGCUAGCCGGCCUGAGAGGGUGAUCGGCCACGAAGGGGACUGAGACACGGCCCUUACUCCUACGGGAGGCAGCAGUGGGGAAUAUUGGACAAUGGACCAAAGUCUGAUCCAGCAAUUCUGUGUGCACGAUG
RNAcentral lists this ribosomal RNA (383 nucleotides) under uncultured bacterium. RNAcentral's name for it is "bacterial SSU rRNA". It matches the Rfam family "Bacterial small subunit ribosomal RNA", at positions 29 to 410 of the family's 1533-position model. The record is from RNAcentral.